This 72-nucleotide transfer RNA is filed under the name Bos taurus (domestic cattle). It matches the Rfam family "tRNA". From Rfam's summary of the family: Transfer RNA (tRNA) molecules are approximately 80 nucleotides in length. Their secondary structure includes four short double-helical elements and three loops (D, anti-codon, and T loops). RNAcentral also lists the same sequence under 5 other names. The record is from Rfam by way of RNAcentral. Lineage: Eukaryota; Metazoa; Chordata; Mammalia; Artiodactyla; Bovidae.
UCCCUUGUGGUCCAGUGGUUAAAACUCUGUGCUCCCAAUGCAGGGGCCCAGGUUCAAUCCCUGGUCAGGGAA